GCUGACCAUAUGGAUCAUCCCAUGAAAACUUCGUAGUAGAUAGUGGUCCCAACUGGAUCCAGGCAUCAUCAUCAUCUAAUCCUGACUGGCGAAUGCUAAUCAUAGUACCGACUGUUCUAUUUUCAAUUCUGAAAGGACCAUGUUCUGAUCCCAGACGGAACACAACCAAGAAACGUGAUCCUUCAUCAUAACCACGAACUUCAACCCUCAG
This 211-nucleotide unclassified non-coding RNA is filed under the name Hevea brasiliensis (rubber tree). Lineage: Eukaryota; Viridiplantae; Streptophyta; Magnoliopsida; Malpighiales; Euphorbiaceae. The record is from RNAcentral.